Molecule: transfer RNA, 76 nt
Filed under: Serratia symbiotica
Lineage: Bacteria; Pseudomonadati; Pseudomonadota; Gammaproteobacteria; Enterobacterales; Yersiniaceae
Description: tRNA-Phe
Rfam family: tRNA
About the family: Transfer RNA (tRNA) molecules are approximately 80 nucleotides in length. Their secondary structure includes four short double-helical elements and three loops (D, anti-codon, and T loops).
Source: RNAcentral
GCCCGGAUAGCUCAGUUGGUAGAGCAGCGGAUUGAAAAUCCCCGUGUCCUUGGUUCGAUUCCGAGUCCGGGCACCA